UGGGGAAUCUUGCACAAUGGGGGCAACCCUGAUGCAGCGACGCCGCGUGAGCGAUGAAGCCCUUCGGGGCGUAAAGCUCUUUCGACCGGAACGAUAAUGACGGUACCGGGAGAAGAAGCUUCGGCUAACUACGUGCCAGCAGCCGCGGUAAUACGUAGGCAGCAAGCGUUGUUCGGAGUUACUGGGCGUAAAGAGUGCGUAGGCGGUUUUCUAAGUUCGGUGUGAAAUCUCCCGGCUUAACUGGGAGGGUGCGCCGAAGACUGGGAAGCUGGAGUGUGGGAAAGGCAGGCGGAAUUCCUGGUGUAGCGGUGAAAUGCGUAGAUAUCAGGAGGAACACCGGCGGUGUAGACGGCUUGCUAGACCAUAACUGACGCUGAGGCACGAAAGCGUGGGUAGCAAACA
Molecule: ribosomal RNA, 402 nt
Filed under: uncultured bacterium
Lineage: Bacteria
Description: bacterial SSU rRNA
Rfam family: Bacterial small subunit ribosomal RNA
Source: RNAcentral